RNAcentral lists this long non-coding RNA (3149 nucleotides) under Setaria italica (foxtail millet). Its description in RNAcentral is "long non-coding RNA (SITA_LNC006410)". Lineage: Eukaryota; Viridiplantae; Streptophyta; Magnoliopsida; Poales; Poaceae. The record is from RNAcentral.
UGGUUGAGGUGGAAGACUAGCCAGGUCAGUACAGGAAGAGCUGUAAUCUUUGUAGAUUGCAGGUCCUAGAACACUCCAAUCAGGUAGAUGCUAACAAUGCAGUUUCACCUUCUUGGGCAUUGACACUGACCUUUAGUUGAGAUAUACAGAUUUGAGUGAUAUUGGAUGAAAUGUAGUGAUAAACAUAAUGUUCGGACAAUUUGGAUUACCUUGCUGUUUUCUGUUUGGCAGCUAGGUGGUUACAUUACAUUCUGACUUUACUGCAAUUGGAGAUGCUGUAAUUUGUGAUUUACUGCUACAGUAGGUUCAAGUGACAUUGUGGCAUGCAACCCUCUGUUCCUGCUUUACUAUUUUUGUUGUCUAUCUUCACAGCGGAUUUAAGGACAGCGACUGUGUCAGCCUGUCUCAAAAAUAACCAACUUCGUUGGCCCUUUCCACAAUAUAGAAGCUCUUUGGUCUCAGUCUCCUGCCUAGAGCUUGCUCUGCCAAAGAAACCCUGCCUCCUGCAGAAGAGUAAGGAGAGAGAGAAAUAAAUAUAUACAAGUAUUUGGCCAGUCACUUGAUUCCGUGUGUAGGGGCGCCAGCAUGGAGCAACAACCCAACAAAAUCUGGUUACACUGAUACAGAUAUUCCAAAUGGAUGGGCUUCAGUGACUGUGCUCAGAAAUAUGAUUUCAACGGGAAUUUAGCAGAGAAUCAUAAUUUGGUUUAAGAAGGACCAUUUAUAUGCAACAUCACACCAAGUCACCAAAUCAAAAGGACAAAUAAAAGGAUUGUGACAGAUCACAUGAAAGUGAAGUUUAUUUCUUCAGGGUGCUGCUCACUUUGGAGCUGCUGCUUUUGAACCUCACUUUGCCAGGGCAAUCUCUCAUGUGUCAUGCUGUUCUCUCCUAGAAUCCCUCAAAGAUGAAUUCUUUCUAUUUCUUUUGUACAUAUGACCUGAAUUAUCUUCCGAGAGGAAUGUACUUGAGGGAGAACAGUGGCAGCCUUAAGGAUCAGAUGGCAGUGCCUCUCAAAACCUUUCUUUUUUUUCACUGUCUUUUACCCCCUCUCUUCACAAGAACAAACAAGGGAUUAAAAGGGAAAGGUAGGAAAACAACAUAACUCAAAAAGCAAAGUGCAAAAGCAAGCAUGGCUCAGCUUGCUUUGAUUCUACUCUCCCCUCUCCAUUAGGUCCUUCAAAAGCACAGCAGAAUCAGCCAAAGCAAAAGAAGCGCCAGAACAGAACAAGAAGCAAGAAUACCGCAACAGCGACUGACACAAAUCCUGCUGCUACUUCCCCACAUUAUAAUAUGCGGUCACGUUGCGCAGCCGCAGCGUUGCAUCGCAUUUGCGCCAGCCCAUCCCCAUGAGAAGAAGCUCUUAGAAGAGCAGCAGCAGAGGAAGUGUUGUGGAGUGAGGCGGCAGGAGAGAGGUAGGAGGAGGAGGUCACGGAAGAAGACAACGCUGCGCGGCGGCGGCCAGCGGUUGUCAUGACAAGGCCGGCAGGGUCCUUGAGGCGGGCGGCGGCGGCGGCAUUGGCCAUCUUGUUCGGAGCGCUUGUGUUGAUGGCGUUAGUCAUGAACGACGGCGAGAAAGCGGCUCCGGCGGCUAGCGUCGCGGCGAUCGGCGGGAGGAGGAUGAUGUCAAGAGCAGGUGGAGAGCAGAGGACUCUAGAGGAUUUCAAGGCUGAUGAUCCCAUCCAGGACAGCAAGAGAAGGGUGCCUAAUGGCCCUGAUCCUAUCCACAACAGGUACUUUGAUUUACAAACUACUGCACGGCAAAGCUUGAUUUGGUGUUUGAGUUGGUCUUUUUCCCUUGUCAUGAGCAUUUACCGCAUCAGAGAAAAGCAGUUGCCAUCUUUUGUAGCAAUGUACCUCAUCAAGGAAGACCUUCAGCAACUUCAGUUGUCUAAACAGCGUGAUAGUCAGAACGUCUCACAGAUCGUUUGAGUAGUUUUCCUCUGUUUUUCUAUUUUUCUUCCAGCGCUGUUUGUUUUCUGGCGCCUAGAAGGGUAAAGGUUUUUGCCAGUUGUUGGCCGCCUGGCUCAGGAAGUUGUAUUUUGUUUCUGUUUGUUCCUAUCUUCUAAUAAAAUUUCGGCAAAGCUCUUGCCGUCAUUUCAAAAAAAAAUCUUUUGUAGCAAUGCACAGGUUUCUUGAAAUUUUACAGUUCCAGGGCUUCUUUACCAUGUAGGGGGCAACAUGUACUGUAUCCCUUCAUCCAACUGGAAUUCCAGCACUCAUGAUACUUUAUCAGAAUCUCUUUGUUUAGGCCACAUAUUAAGAAGGAAAUGUUCUUGUCUGACCAGGUUCUGCUACUUGUAGUCCAAGGUGUAUGUUUCGCAGUGUGUUCAAUAUGUUUGUGUGAAACCACAAAAUGUCUUUCCUUUUUUUUUUUUUUUGCAGAUAUGUAGUCAAUUUGCCUCAAUAUGUUCUACUAUUUACCUUGGUUUGUUAAAAAAAUUUAUGCACAAUAGGCAAGUAAAGAAAGACAAAGCUACUAUUUCACAUAAAAAAAUGCAUGAGCCCUACAGUAGUGGGGAAACAAGGUGAUAUGAGCAAAAGAUUCCAUGCACUCCUUUUCCUCAUCACUCCCACAUUCCCCUAUGAUGAUAUGCUAAUAUUUCAGCAAAAGCAAGUAGAUAAGUCCUAUUCCCCUAAUGAGUAACAUAGAUGCUCAUAUCAUUCCUGAAAUGAUUAGUCUACAUGCAUGAAAGCAGUCAAACAAAGGGCACCACCACGGUUCAUCAUGAUAAACAACAGAAAGUCUUAACGGUUUUAGCGCAUCACCUGCUGAAACACAAACUUGCAGUGCUGUCUCAAAUUCCUGCUCAAGCUUCUUCCCCUUCUAAUCUGAUUAUUUUUCCUUCUGCAUUCUCUAGGGGAACCGGCAAGUCCGGACGAUCGCCGGGCCGAGCAUGAUGGGGACGGAACGCAUGUCGAGGCGCGGAAGCUUCUGAAGAGGCAGACGUGUGUGGAGCAGCAAACAGAUGGUGCAUUGCAUUGCAAGGAGGAAGAGGAACAGACAAGAGGUGCAUUGUGGUGGGUCUGGCUGGAAUGUGGGGAGUGGGGUGUAACUAGGGGGAGGUGGCCUAUCUUCUUCUAAGCACUGCUAUUUAAGACAGUUUUAAGCAUGAUGAAACUUUAGCUUUUUUUGGGGGGAAACAAAGGC